UUAAAACGAAAUAUAUUGGGAAACUCCAAUUCAAUUGUAAGAAAUUUUCUGCUGUUUGUUCCUAAGUAUCUAAAUUCUGCUAUACAUUUUUCUUUCAUAUAGUUAUAUCCCAUAAUUCACCAUAGAAUUUAAUUGUAGCCACCAGAUGUCCCUAUUGCCGUUCAGUAGGGCGCACAGCUGCACACGUGUCCCAAGUUCUCAACGUGCUCUGAAAUUUAAAAAAAUCCAUUUAGUUGUUUGAACCUAUUUAAUGGUGUUGGAAAUCAACUGAUUUUGAAUUUCUUAUCAAUGUCCUGUUGUUCUACUCGACGGGCAUUGAUUUUAUUUCUUGUGGGCGAAGCUAUAAAUUUUUUCUGGCCGUGUGUAAAACGGGUUGUUUGAAAUUUCGAAGCUCGCCGUUCCAUUAAAUCAAUCACUCCAAAAAUCAUCUUCUGACGUGGAAUGGAUUCUAACGGAAAGGAGGAUCUGCCCUUUGCCCAUCGAGAAACUUGGUCUCCAUUACAAGUUUCAAUUGGAGAUGAACCCUCAAGUUUGAUCUCAUCGUUACGCGCUGAAGGAGCUCUUCUUGCUGCUUAAUCACUGGGCAUAAGGUGAGUUGAUAGCAGAGAAGGAUGGCUACUCGCGUUUCCUUCUCGAUGCCUUUAGCCUCUGUGUGUCUAGCCGACGCCCUGUAGGCAUCGUUGCAUCACGUCCUGUCGUUACAUUAGUCACAAACUGGAGAACACCGGCGGCGCAAAUGGGCAAAAAAAAAGAAAAGAAGAAAAGAAAACGAAAAAAACAAGGACAUUAUUCAACACUUGUGGGAGUUUUAAGUGUUUUCGACGCAAGAAAAACAUUAAGGGAAUCCGCUGAAAUGGGCCCGGAUGUCUCGACAACUAUCCGCAUGCCCAUUGAAUACAAGAGCGCAAGUUGUUGUGUAACUUGUUCAUAUCGACAUUCAUCCGCUUUGUUCUCUGCGUCCAAAAUCAAAGUUUGAAGUGAAUGGAGAAAAAAAUAAUAAAAAGAAAUCAGUUAUAUAACGCAUUUAUACGUCAAGUACUUUAUUUAAAUAUUCAUUUUAUUCAACUCUUCGUUUGCCGAUGCAUGCUAGCAGAUGAGAUCCGACCGUCAAGUUACUUUCGCCCCGUUUGAUCGUCCUCCCCCCCCUUUUUCUUUUAUUUCCUCCCUCCCACAUCGAACAAACUAUGAAGUGCGUUGGGUGGUGUCUUAUCCCUAAUACAUAGUCGUAAACGGA
This is a long non-coding RNA of Daphnia magna, 1234 nucleotides long. RefSeq lists it as uncharacterized. The transcript has 5 exons. NCBI's taxonomy places the organism in Eukaryota, Metazoa, Arthropoda, Branchiopoda, Diplostraca, Daphniidae. The record is from RefSeq and is a predicted model, not a curated record.